This 460-nucleotide ribosomal RNA is filed under the name uncultured bacterium. Its description in RNAcentral is "partial 16S ribosomal RNA". It matches the Rfam family "Bacterial small subunit ribosomal RNA", at positions 338 to 795 of the family's 1533-position model. The record is from RNAcentral.
CCUACGGGUGGCAGCAGUGAGGAAUAUUGGUCAAUGGACGAGAGUCUGAACCAGCCAAGUAGCGUGAAGGAUGACUGCCCUAUGGGUUGUAAACUUCUUUUAUAUGGGAAUAAAACGUUCCACGUGUGGGAUUUUGUAUGUACCAUAUGAAUAAGGAUCGGCUAACUCCGUGCCAGCAGCCGCGGUAAUACGGAGGAUCCGAGCUUUAUCCGGAUUUAUUGGGUUUAAAGGGAGCGUAGGUGGAUUGUUAAGUCAGUUGUGAAAGUUUGCGGCUCAACCGUAAAAUUGCAGUUGAAACUGGCAGUCUUGAGGACAGUAGAGGUGGGCGGAAUUCGUGGUGUAGCGGUGAAAUGCUUAGAUAUCACGAAGAACUCCGAUUGCGAAGGCAGUUCACUGGACUGCAACUGACACUGAGGCUCGAAAGUGUGGGUAUCAAACAGGAUUAGAUACCCUUGUAGUC